This 482-nucleotide ribosomal RNA is filed under the name uncultured bacterium. RNAcentral's name for it is "bacterial SSU rRNA". It matches the Rfam family "Bacterial small subunit ribosomal RNA", at positions 28 to 534 of the family's 1533-position model. The record is from RNAcentral.
GACGAACGCUGGCGGCGUGCUUAACACAUGCAAGUCGAACGGGAGUAUUGAAGAAGCUUGCUUUAGAGAUACUUUAGUGGCGGACGGGUGAGUAACGCGUGAGGAGCUGUCCUAUGCAGGGGGACAACAGCUGGAAACGGCUGCUAAUACCCCAUAAGCCGAGAGGUAAAAGGAUCAAUCCGGCAGAGGAGGUACUCGCGUCCUAUCAGCUAGUAGGUGAGGUAACGGCUCACCUAGGCGAAGACGGGUAGCCGGCCUGAGAGGGCGAACGGCCACACUGGAACUGAGAUACGGUCCAGACUCCUACGGGAGGCAGCAGUGGGGAAUAUUGGGCAAUGGGGGAAACCCUGACCCAGCGACGCCGCGUGGGUGAAGAAAUCCUUCGGGAUGUAAAGCCCUGUUGUAUGGGAAGAGCGGAAGACGGUACCAUACGAGGAAGCCCCGGCAAACUACGUGCCAGCAGCCGCGGUAAACGUAGCGUG